Non-coding RNA from Oryza glaberrima (African rice), 90 nucleotides. Lineage: Eukaryota; Viridiplantae; Streptophyta; Magnoliopsida; Poales; Poaceae. The record is from Rfam.
UACUCCCUCCGUCCCAAAAUAAGUCAAUCCCGUACUAGUAUAUGACACUUCCUAGUACGAGGUUGGUUUAUUUUGGGACGGAGAGAGUAG